AUUGAACGCUGGCGGCAGGCCUAACACAUGCAAGUCGAGCGGAUGAAGGGAGCUUGCUCCUGGAUUCAGCGGCGGACGGGUGAGUAAUGCCUAGGAAUCUGCCUGGUAGUGGGGGAUAACGUCCGGAAACGGGCGCUAAUACCGCAUACGUCCUGCGGGAGAAAGUGGGGGAUCUUCGGACCUCACGCUAUCAGAUGAGCCUAGGUCGGAUUAGCUAGUUGGUGGGGUAAAGGCCUACCAAGGCGACGAUCCGUAACUGGUCUGAGAGGAUGAUCAGUCACACUGGAACUGAGACACGGUCCAGACUCCUACGGGAGGCAGCAGUGGGGAAUAUUGGACAAUGGGCGAAAGCCUGAUCCAGCCAUGCCGCGUGUGUGAAGAAGGUCUUCGGAUUGUAAAGCUCUUUAAGUUGGGAGGAAGGGCAGUAAGUUAAUACCUUGCUGUUUUGACGUUACCAACAGAAUAAGCACCGGCUAACUUCGUG
Molecule: ribosomal RNA, 484 nt
Filed under: uncultured bacterium
Lineage: Bacteria
Description: partial 16S ribosomal RNA
Rfam family: Bacterial small subunit ribosomal RNA
Source: RNAcentral